UACGGGGGGAGCAAGCGUUGUUCGGAUUUACUGGGCGUAAAGGGCGCGUAGGCGGUCAGCACAAGUCAGUUGUGAAAUCUCCGGGCUUAACUCGGAAAGGUCAACUGAUACUGUGCGACUAGAGUGCGGAAGGGGGCAACUGGAAUUCUCGGUGUAGCGGUGAAAUGCGUAGAGAUCGGGAGGAACACCAGUGGCGAAGGCGGCCUUCUGGACCAGCACUGACACUCAAGCACGAAAGCGAGUGGG
RNAcentral lists this ribosomal RNA (246 nucleotides) under uncultured bacterium. Its description in RNAcentral is "partial 16S ribosomal RNA". It matches the Rfam family "Bacterial small subunit ribosomal RNA", at positions 524 to 767 of the family's 1533-position model. The record is from RNAcentral.